This 2507-nucleotide long non-coding RNA is filed under the name Homo sapiens (human). RNAcentral describes it as "HSALNT0169315". Lineage: Eukaryota; Metazoa; Chordata; Mammalia; Primates; Hominidae. The record is from RNAcentral.
AGUGUUGAAUGAGGUGGCAGGAAGGAGAUACAGGGGCCACCAGAACCCUGAUGGGACACCUUUGGAACAAGAAGUUCUCUUUGGGCUUAUAGUCAGAAGUUCACACUCCCAUGUAUAGCCAGGAGGUGUCUAGCAGUGAACAAGGGCUCUCUUUGUUUUGCAUUCACAGGUCAAGCACUGUCAUUAACUACCACAGAGCCCACUGUGCUUCCCCCAACUCCUCCAACAGGUCAGUUGGCAUUUGUUUUAUGGAGAAAGGGAACCAUGUGCCCAGCACUGGCCUGGUGCCUUCCCAGAGCUGAAGCCACGCUAAGUGCUAACCAUACUCCUGCAAAUUCUCCUUGCCUCUGGAGGAGCUGAGUCAGGAACUGAUGCUGCAUAUUUGACUGUGACCUUCAGGCCAUGUGUAUUUUCUUUUUUUAAUUUUUUUUUUUUGAGACGGAGUCUCGCUCUGUCACCCAGGCUAGAGUGCAGCGGUGUGAUCUCGACUCACUGCAAGCUCCGCCUCCCAGGUUCACACCAUUCUCCUGCCUCAGCCUCCUGAGUAGCUGGGACUACAGGCACCUGCCACCACACCCAGCUAAUUUUUUUUUUUUUUUUUGUAUUUUUAGUAAAGACUGGGUUUCACCAUGUUAGCCAGGUUGGUGUCGAUCUCCUGACCUCAUGAUCCACCCGCCUCGGCCUCCCAAAGUCCUGGGAUUACAGGCGUGAGCCACCACAGCUGGCCCAGGCCGUGUGUAUCUUCAAACUUUUGUCUUUCUAAAGUUGGUUUUAGGGGAUGUCCUAACAAUUAGGUCUGCUUCUGUUUGUCCCUGUGACAGGUGCUGGGUUAUCUGCAACCAUAGCCACAACAGAGCCUGUGUCCCUGCCAUCCACACCCAUGCCCCUGGCAGGUAAGUGCUUGGGAAAAUGGGGGAAGGAGCUCACACUUAUGAAACAACCAUAAUAUGAUAAGCAAAGAAUCAGACGCUGUCACUAGUCUAUGCUCAAACCACCUACAAGUGUUACCCUUCCCCCCACCUCACCUCACUGUUUCAUAAAAUGAGACACAGAAAAUUUUCCUAGUGUCACCCGACUAGAAUGUGGUAGAGCCAAGAUUUGGGCACAAAUAUGUCUGACUCCAAACCCAUAUGACUCUGCUUAGCCAGUUACCUUUCAUGGUGGGACAGUAUUCUCCAAAGCUACCUUUGGGCUAAUGGGAAGAGAACAUGCUUGCAAGCCUAAUUGCUAUGUCCCAGGUACAUCAAGACUAUAACUAGGAAAUCAGGGAGUCGGCUGCGAGUUGUCACCUACUCUAUAGCUUUUAAUAUAAAAUUCCUAAUUUAUAUUUUCCACUGUGAUAAUUAGGCAAGACUUAUCCUUUUAGUUUACCUGAUACUGUAUAUCAGGUGUAAACCCAAAUCCCAGUUCUUUCCUUCUAGGUGGGCAGGAAACAUCUAUACAUCUGCUUUACAAAGAAAGAAAGUUUGUUGUAGCAUUCUGACACUUUAAGCCUGGUUCUGCAGUAACUCACAUCAGUAGUAACUCAAUUUGUCUAGGCCAAGCCUAAUGGUGUGUGUGCAUGUCUGUGUUUUGAAUAAAUACUAUGGUGGAAGUUUAAGGCUGUGUAGAUGUACUAAGCUAGCCUUACAGUCAUUCUGCUACCUCCUCAAAAAACACUACACAGCAGGCAGAGGUCUCUCCUCUGUUUCAGGCCUUCACUUGGGCCACUUUUUGACAUUCUGGGCCCCUAGGAACUUUUGCCUUCAGGGACCCCUACCUCCGUUAAAAAAAAAGUAUAUUUAUAUACACACAGAUAUGUAUGUGUAUCUUCUAUUUUAUGGUUGUGUUGGUAUAAAGACUAUAUUGUAGUCAUUUCUUCUGAUUUUAAAACAAAUGAAGGCAGGUUUGGGAGCCCUUAAAAGUCACGUGGACCCCAGUCACUGUGCCUGCCACAUCUGAUUGAGGCAUCUGUCCUGCUCUUCUGUGUUCUUCCAAGUAAUGAACACGUGCAGACCCGCUAGACUCCAGCACCACAAGGACAUUUCGGGAGGAAGAAUACGAUGCAUUUCCCCUGAUUUGAGACUGCUUCAAAUCAGGGUGUGGGGGAGGAUUCUGAUUUAUUUCAUAACCUCCUCGGGGUAGAACCGAUGGACUGUGGUAAGAGCUGUCCUAACCUUAUGCCCUCCUUAGGGCUAAGCCAUAGGCAGUCUGCCCUGUCGAUAGUGCUGCACAGAGAGCUGGCCCCAUUUUCAGACACAGGUUGCUCGCAGGAGCUUUGUUGAGAAAAGAGGUUCAUUUUUUAUGCAUAGUUCCUGGCAGGGUUGAGUUGAGAACAGUAGUUAAUGGUCACACUGAAUAAUGCAAGUAGGAGUGGGUUGUUUAUGAAAUGGAGGCUGCUGGCUCAGAAGAACUGGAGCCUGUAAAGGGGGGAUUGACCUAGAAUCUCUCGGAAAACCUUCCCUUCCCUUCUGAGCAUAAUCUACUUAUGAUUAUCAUAACGACUCACAUUUCCACUACAUUUUUCC